GGAGGGGCGCGCGCGCGCGCUACCGAGGGCACCGCAUUUCCAGAACUGCGAUCUUGUGUCAGCCUGUUGAAGUUCUUGCGAUCUGCGUCCUGAGUCUUCGAUUGGAAAGAGGAGGGCUGACUGUCCGGGAAGUAUGGAGUGAAGACUCUAGGGGAGCAAGAGAGCCGGCAAGAAGGUCUCCCCGCUCUGGAAGAAGAGCUGGAGUGACUGACUCUGCAGCUCCUGAAUGAAGUCUGGCGUGUCUCCACUGCGAGGACAGAGACCAGCCUCAGCAGAGGUGGGUACGUCCCGCUGCGAUGGCUGUGAGAAUGAAAGAGACACAACAAUAAAGUAAGAGAGUGUGAUGA
Lepisosteus oculatus (spotted gar) is the source of this 347-nucleotide long non-coding RNA. RefSeq lists it as uncharacterized. Lineage: Eukaryota; Metazoa; Chordata; Actinopteri; Semionotiformes; Lepisosteidae. The record is from RefSeq and is a predicted model, not a curated record.